UUGUGUAUUCCUGGAGCCGUACUUAGUGGGACUGUCAGCCACACGAUUCUGCUCUCUAAAUAUAUGAAUGAGGGAUGGGUUAUGCACUUGGCGGAGUAACAACCUGCAAUCGUUUAUAAUGUUAGCAUAAUAUAAAGGAGUGAUUUGGAACAUACCGAUGAGUUGCCGGGCAUCUGUUUCAAUCACUAGUGGUGUCAAUGUUGUUGUAAAGCUAUGCUGAAACCCAUAAGACGUGCCAAAAGCUCUAUCUAGAUGCUAUUACAUUUUUUUGAUCGACCUGCAAAUCCCACCACCCAGCUACUUUGAUGAUUUCGAAAAAUCCCACCAAUGCCAUAUUGCUUAUGGAAGAAUGAAACAAAUCCAUAUAUAGUAAGUUUAUAGUAGUU
RNAcentral lists this long non-coding RNA (386 nucleotides) under Nicotiana benthamiana. RNAcentral's name for it is "long non-coding RNA (NBEN_LNC003660)". Lineage: Eukaryota; Viridiplantae; Streptophyta; Magnoliopsida; Solanales; Solanaceae. The record is from RNAcentral.